UUUUUUUGUUUUUUCAUGACGAGAGAAAAAACAGUCCUUUUCCGUCUUAAGUCUUAAAAACAAAAAAGUUCUUCCUCUCAUCCAUUAACCCUAAAUCUUAAAAUUCCCAAAAAUAAAUGUUAAAGCCGCAAACUCUUCUCACACAAAUCCUAAGGCUUCUCCUUCUUCCCAAAUUCCUCUAUCUCUCUCUGUUUUUCUCUCUCUAUCUCUUUUGAAGAAUAUGAAUUCGGCAUCUUUAGAUGAAGUUGAGAUCUGCUGGAGCAAGAGAACCCAAGCUUCCCGUCGAAGCUCCUUCCUCUUCGGGUAUCACAAUCGAUGUUAUAGGAAAAACCACCAACGACGCUUCCGCUUCCCUCCGAUUCAAAUUCUGGAUCUGAGAUUGAUUACGACUCUGAGCGAGCUUGGUGGUGGUGGGUUUGAGACCAAAGAUUUCUCUAAUUAAUGGAAGCCAAGUAGUCACCCUCGGUGUAUCAAGAUCUUGGUUUCGGACUAUAUACCAACUUACCAAGUGUUCCCAUCUGUUGGAGCUUGUUGAAGAAUAAUAAAUCCUGCUGAUUUUGAUCCAAGGUCUGCUAAUUCGCAUAUUACCAAUUCAGUGACUCUUGGUUCCAAAUUCGUUUUGGUGGUCAUAGUCUUCUUUAGUCAUGGUUUGGUUCUAAGCGAUGUUCUUCACGAAGUGGUCAACAGAGCAGACGAUGGUGGUAUCACACCUCUUCAUAAUGAAUCUAUUGAUCGAUAAGGGGGCCUGUUUUAGCUGCCAUGAACUCCAACGAGUUUGUUCUUCUCUCUAUUUCUCCGCCUGUAAGAUGGCUGCAAGAUAGGAAGCCAAAAUCACAUCUGCUUUGAAGUCCCAGAUUGAAUAGCUACAACAGGAGAGGGAUGGAUUUCAAAGGAUGGUGAUUGGAAACCAAGUUUGUAAACACUUUAAAUCCAUUUUCCUGUUCUUCAUAUCUCUUGUUUAAUCCUUUGUAACAUUUGCGAAUUCACCAACCUUAGGAAAGUAAGAGUUUUACCAUUGCUUAUGACCGAUUCAAUUUUAUUAUGCUGACACUCUUUUAUUUUUCCCACUUACAGUUACUAUAAGGUGAUCUGCUGAUGGUAUGAGUGGAGAUCUACUAGGGCUGCUUCGGUUUCUUUAUUACUUGGUUUGGUGAAGAAAUGUACCUUCUUUUUCUUUAUGACUUGGUUGGUGAUUCAAGCACUUGUAUCUUUUGGGUAUUUGAUAGAAUGAUUCUAUGUAAAAUGUAUGUUUUAUAAAUUUAAUGUAGUAUUAAUUUUAUUUA
Non-coding RNA from Camelina sativa (false flax), 1283 nucleotides. The record is from RefSeq and is a predicted model, not a curated record. NCBI's taxonomy places the organism in Eukaryota, Viridiplantae, Streptophyta, Magnoliopsida, Brassicales, Brassicaceae.